This 2932-nucleotide ribosomal RNA is filed under the name Proteus mirabilis. Its description in RNAcentral is "bacterial LSU rRNA". It matches the Rfam family "Bacterial large subunit ribosomal RNA". Lineage: Bacteria; Pseudomonadati; Pseudomonadota; Gammaproteobacteria; Enterobacterales; Morganellaceae. The record is from RNAcentral.
GGGUUGUGAGGUUAAGCGAAUAAGCGUACACGGUGGAUGCCUAGGCAAUCAGAGGCGAUGAAGGACGUGCUAAUCUGCGAAAAGCGUCGGUAAGGUGAUAUGAACCGUUAUACCCGACGAUAUCCGAAUGGGGAAACCCAGUAUCCAAUGGAUACUAUCAUUAACUGAAUCCAUAGGUUAAUGAGGCGAACCGGGAGAACUGAAACAUCUCAGUACCCCGAGGAAAAGAAAUCAACCGAGAUUCCCCUAGUAGCGGCGAGCGAACGGGGAGCAGCCCAGAGUCUUAAUCAAUAGCAGUGUCAGGAGAACGGUCUGGAAAGUCCGGCAGUAAAGGGUGAUAGCCCCGUAUCUGAAGAUGCUGUUAUUGUGAACUCGAUGAGUAGGGCGGGACACGUGUUAUCCUGUCUGAAUAUGGGGGGACCAUCCUCCAAGGCUAAAUACUCCUGAUUGACCGAUAGUGAACCAGUACCGUGAGGGAAAGGCGAAAAGAACCCCGGCGAGGGGAGUGAAAAAGAACCUGAAACCGUGUACGUACAAGCAGUAGGAGCCUCUUUAUGGGGUGACUGCGUACCUUUUGUAUAAUGGGUCAGCGACUUAUAUUCUGUAGCGAGGUUAACCGUAUAGGGGAGCCGUAGGGAAACCGAGUCUUAACUGGGCGAAUGAGUUGCAGGGUAUAGACCCGAAACCCGGUGAUCUAUCCAUGGGCAGGUUGAAGGUUGGGUAACACUAACUGGAGGACCGAACCGACUAAUGUUGAAAAAUUAGCGGAUGACUUGUGGAUGGGGGUGAAAGGCCAAUCAAACCGGGAGAUAGCUGGUUCUCCCCGAAAGCUAUUUAGGUAGCGCCUCGUGAACUCAUCUUCGGGGGUAGAGCACUGUUUCGACUAGGGGGUCAUCCCGACUUACCAACUCGAUGCAAACUGCGAAUACCGAAGAAUGUUAUCACGGGAGACACACGGCGGGUGCUAACGUCCGUCGUGAAGAGGGAAACAACCCAGACCGCCAGCUAAGGUCCCAAAGUCAUGGUUAAGUGGGAAACGAAGUGGGAAGGCUCAGACAGCCAGGAUGUUGGCUUAGAAGCAGCCAUCAUUUAAAGAAAGCGUAAUAGCUCACUGGUCGAGUCGGCCCGCGCGGAAGAUGUAACGGGGCUAAACCAUGCACCGAAGCUGCGGCAGCGACACAUAGUGUUGUUGGGUAGGGGAGCGUUCUGUAAGCCUGCGAAGGUGUACUGUGAGGUAUGCUGGAGGUAUCAGAAGUGCGAAUGCUGACAUAAGUAACGAUAAUGCGGGUGAAAAACCCGCACGCCGGAAGACCAAGGGUUCCUGUCCAACGUUAAUCGGGGCAGGGUGAGUCGACCCCUAAGGCGAGGCUGAAAAGCGUAGUCGAUGGGAAACGGGUUAAUAUUCCCGUACUGGUGGUAACUGCGAUGGGGGAACGGAGAAGGCUAGGUUGUCCGGGCGACGGUCGUCCCGGUUCAAGCAGGUAGGCAGAGUGAUUAGGCAAAUCCGGUCACUUAAUGCUGAGAUGUGAUGACGAACCACCAAGGUGGUGAAGCAAUUGAUGCCCCGCUUCCAGGAAAAGCCUCUAAGCUUCAGGUUACCAACAAUCGUACCCCAAACCGACACAGGUGGUCAGGUAGAGAAUACUCAGGCGCUUGAGAGAACUCGGGUGAAGGAACUAGGCAAAAUGGUGCCGUAACUUCGGGAGAAGGCACGCUGGCGGUAGGUAAAGUCCCUUGCGGACGGCGCUGAAGCCAGUCGAAGAUACCAGCUGGCUGCAACUGUUUAUUAAAAACACAGCACUGUGCAAACACGAAAGUGGACGUAUACGGUGUGACGCCUGCCCGGUGCUGGAAGGUUAAUUGAUGGGGUUAGCCGCAAGGCGAAGCUCCUGAUCGAAGCCCCAGUAAACGGCGGCCGUAACUAUAACGGUCCUAAGGUAGCGAAAUUCCUUGUCGGGUAAGUUCCGACCUGCACGAAUGGCGUAAUGAUGGCCAGGCUGUCUCCACCCGAGACUCAGUGAAAUUGAACUCGCUGUGAAGAUGCAGUGUACCCGCGGCAAGACGGAAAGACCCCGUGAACCUUUACUAUAGCUUGACACUGAACAUUGAGCCUUGAUGUGUAGGAUAGGUGGGAGGCUUUGAAGUGUGGACGCCAGUCUGCAUGGAGCCAACCUUGAAAUACCACCCUUUAACGUUUGAUGUUCUAACCUAGGCCCAUAAACUGGGUCGGGGACCGUGUCUGGUGGGUAGUUUGACUGGGGCGGUCUCCUCCUAAAGAGUAACGGAGGAGCACGAAGGUUGGCUAAGCAUGGUCGGACAUCAUGCGGUUAGUGCAAAGGCAUAAGCCAGCUUGACUGCGAGAGUGACGGCUCGAGCAGGUACGAAAGUAGGUCUUAGUGAUCCGGUGGUUCUGAAUGGAAGGGCCAUCGCUCAACGGAUAAAAGGUACUCCGGGGAUAACAGGCUGAUACCGCCCAAGAGUUCAUAUCGACGGCGGUGUUUGGCACCUCGAUGUCGGCUCAUCACAUCCUGGGGCUGAAGUAGGUCCCAAGGGUAUGGCUGUUCGCCAUUUAAAGUGGUACGCGAGCUGGGUUUAGAACGUCGUGAGACAGUUCGGUCCCUAUCUGCCGUGGGCGUUGGAAGAUUGAGAGGGGUUGCUCCUAGUACGAGAGGACCGGAGUGAACGCACCACUGGUGUUCGGGUUGUCAUGCCAAUGGCAUUGCCCGGUAGCUAAGUGCGGAAGAGAUAACCGCUGAAAGCAUCUAAGCGGGAAACUUGCCUCGAGAUGAGUCUUCCCUGUCGCUUUAAGCGACCUAAAGGAACGUUUAAGACUAAGACGUUGAUAGGCUGGGUGUGUAAGCGUAGCGAUACGUUGAGCUAACCAGUACUAAUGAACCGUGAGGCUUAACCUGACAACACCGAAAGUGUUUUG